GAACCGCGGUAGUGCAGUGGUCAGCACACGUGUCCGGAAAGGGUAGAACGCGGGUUCAACUACCGCUCCUGGUUCA
Non-coding RNA from Parelaphostrongylus tenuis, 76 nucleotides. The record is from the annotation of a GenBank genome assembly. NCBI's taxonomy places the organism in Eukaryota, Metazoa, Nematoda, Chromadorea, Rhabditida, Metastrongylidae.